Molecule: ribosomal RNA, 585 nt
Filed under: Shouchella clausii
Lineage: Bacteria; Bacillati; Bacillota; Bacilli; Caryophanales; Bacillaceae
Description: bacterial SSU rRNA
Rfam family: Bacterial small subunit ribosomal RNA
Source: RNAcentral
UUAACGGAGAGUUUGAUCCUGGCUCAGGACGAACGCUGGCGGCGUGCCUAAUACAUGCAAGUCGAGCGGAGUUUCAAGAAGCUUGCUUUUUGAAACUUAGCGGCGGACGGGUGAGUAACACGUGGGCAACCUGCCCCUUAUACUGGGAUAACUCCCGGAAACCGGAGCUAAUACCGGAUAAUCCCUUUCUCCACCUGGAGAGAGGGUGAAAGAUGGGUUCUGCUAUCACUAUGGGAUGGGCCCGCGGCGCAUUAUCUAGUUGGUAAGGUAACGGCUUACCAAGGCGACGAUGCGUAGCCGACCUGAGAGGGGGAUCGGCCACACUGGGACUGAGACACGGCCCACACUCCUACGGGAGGCAGCAGUAGGGAAUCUUCCGCAAUGGACGAAAGUCUGACGGAGCAACGCCGCGUGAGUGAGGAAAGCCUUCUGGUCUUAUAACUCUGUUGUGAGGGAAAAAACGGUACCGUUUUAAUAGAGCGGUGCCUUGACGGUACCUCACCAGAAAGCCACGGCUAACUACGUGCCAGCAGCCGCGGUAAUACGUAGGUGGCAAGCGUUGUCCGGAAUUAUUGGGCGUAAAGC